ACCGAAGCUGUGGAUUGGACCUUAUGGUCCAGUGGUAGGAGAGCGUUCUAAGGGCGGUGAAGCAUGACCGUAAGGACAUGUGGAGCGCUUAGAAGUGAGAAUGCCGGUAUGAGUAGCGAAAGACGGGUGAGAAUCCCGUCCACCGAAUAACUAAGGUUUCCUGGGGAAGGCUCGUCCUCCCAGGGUUAGUCGGGACCUAAGGCGAGGCCGAAAGGCGUAGUCGAUGGAUAACAGGUUGAUAUUCCUGCACCCGCGAGUAAAGUGAUGGAGUGACAGAUAGGGUUAACCCAAGUCCUUAAUGGAUUGGGCAAGGCAAGCAGGAGAGUGGCGUAGGCAAAUCCGCGCCGGAUACUCAAAGGCUUGACUCAAGCGAACGCGCGAGCAAGUAGUGAAGAGGGCAAUACCAGGUCUCAAGAAAAGCUUCUAGCGAUAAUUUACUAGCGGCCCGUACCAAAACCGACACAGGUGGUUGAGGCGAGUAGCCUAAGGUGAGCGAGAGAACUGUUGCCAAGGAACUCGGCAAAUUGACCCCGUACGUUAGCAAUAAGGGGUGCUCGAAAGAGCCGCAGUGAAUAGGCCCUAGCAACUGUUUAACUAAAACAUAGCUCUCUGCGAAGUCGCAAGACGAAGUAUAGGGGGUGACACCUGCCCGGUGCUGGAAGGUCAAGGGGAUUUGUCAGACGCAAGUCGAAGCAUUGAACCGAAGCCCCAGUGAACGGCGGCCGUAACUAUAACGGUCCUAAGGUAGCGAAAUUCCUUGUCAGGUAAGUUCUGACCCGCACGAAAGGUGUAAUGAUUUGGGCAC
This 805-nucleotide ribosomal RNA is filed under the name Porphyromonadaceae bacterium. Its description in RNAcentral is "partial 23S ribosomal RNA". It matches the Rfam family "Bacterial large subunit ribosomal RNA", at positions 1193 to 2016 of the family's 2925-position model. Lineage: Bacteria; Pseudomonadati; Bacteroidota; Bacteroidia; Bacteroidales; Porphyromonadaceae. The record is from RNAcentral.